GGAGAGGUCGCAUAGUGGCCGAGUGCGCCACCUUGGAAAGGUGGUAUCCGUCUUUGGCGGAUCGAGGGUUCGAAUCCCUCUCUCUCCUCCA
Molecule: transfer RNA, 91 nt
Filed under: Candidatus Saccharimonadota bacterium
Lineage: Bacteria; Candidatus Saccharimonadota
Description: tRNA-Ser
Rfam family: tRNA
About the family: Transfer RNA (tRNA) molecules are approximately 80 nucleotides in length. Their secondary structure includes four short double-helical elements and three loops (D, anti-codon, and T loops).
Source: RNAcentral